Molecule: long non-coding RNA, 1551 nt
Organism: Marmota monax (woodchuck)
Lineage: Eukaryota; Metazoa; Chordata; Mammalia; Rodentia; Sciuridae
Exons: 2
Source: RefSeq, a predicted model, not a curated record
UUUCUGACUCUCAAGGAAGUCUUGAAUAUACUUUCAGAGAAAUGGCAGCACAAGCGGUAGUCAUUUGGGAAGAAGCAAGUCUGGAAGAAAAGUAUCCUGAAGAGUAGCACCAAGAGGGAUUCAAAUAAAUAUCUGCACUGGUCAGAAAUGGUUCAUGUAAACCCUAAACAAGAUCAUCCUUAAAGAUUAAUUAAGGGAAUGAUGUUAACAGCCAUUAAUGUAAUUUUAUUUGUAUAAAAGAGAGACACCUGAUCAUCUUAUAUGACAAAUGGAAACUUUCUAACCCCUUUUCUAAGAAAGUUUAUAUAUCUAAGGUUUGCGAACAUUAAUGAUUUUCUUAAACUGUAAUAUCUGUCUACACAAGUGUUUAUUCUUCUUCCUCUUACCUUGUAUGAUUUGGUAACAUUGUGUGUGAAUAUCUGUCGAGGAUACAGUGUUCUCAUGCUACAGAUUUAAACAAGUCCCAUUGCUGAAGGAAUAUCCUCAUCCUCUUAGGCACACACAUAGCAUAGUAAAAAGGUCACCAAAUAACAACAAAGGAGGGCUGAAGUCUAUCUUGGUUCUGUCUUUUACUCAUUUUCUGAGUUUCCAUUUUCUCAUUAGCAAAAUAAAGUAAUUGGAUUGGGUAUUCUGUGAAACCUCCUCUGGUUUUAAAAUGCACAGGUUCAUAGGCUUCAGGAGACCUGGAAUAAAAGAAGCUCAUACUCAGUGGCAGAUGUGUCCUUAUAAGGUUCUGAGAAAAAAGAGACUGAAGUGCUGGAGCAAUUGAGAAACCUUCUGUGGGGCUGCCAUGUGUACAGGACCUAGAAUACAUAACCUGAGAAGGAAGAGAUGAGGGGCAGGAGUUCACAGGGCAUGUGGAGGAGACCAUGGAAGGCUUAAAAAUGGCUAGAUCUAAAUAGAGCCCCUGGCACACAUCUGAGUGCUAAAGAAAUUCUGUUCCUUAUUUCCUUGAAGAGGAUAAUAAUGGUCAUUGCAGAAAGUUUUAGUAGCUGAGACUGAUGAUGUAAUGAGCAGUUUCCUGAGGGGAAAGCCAUGAAGGUGAACUGGAUUUUAAACAUAGAACACUGGUCAAAGGCUCUUUGACUGUUCCAUAUAGGGGAGUUCCCAGUUUGUACUGCCUAGUGCAACUAAGUAUCGAAUAAGAUAUGAUACUUCUGAGUCCCAAUUAAGGCUUUCUUCAAAUUCAAGUGCCAAGGCAUAAGGUCAACCUGUAGAAACAUUCCAAACAUUCCAGCCAAACCUUUGUCCCUGAGCAAAAAUGGAAGUGGGUUUCCAGGCCUGAAUGGAAGCUACAAGAAAGUUCAAACUCAAGGAUUGAUAGAACUGUACUUUUCUAGGACCUGUUUAGCACAGAUUUUUGACGAAUAGUACUGGGUACUUUUUCAAUACCUUAUUAGCAUAAGUAUUGAUCAUUGCUCCUACUCAGUUACUAUAUAAAUCCCUAGACUAUACACUUAAGCAGCAACCUAGUAUUUGGUCCCCUCUCACUCUGGGAGCAUUCUUUCUCUUAACAUUUAAAUAAAUCCUAUUCUUUUUACUCUUACCAUU